UUCAGACCAAUACCAAUUAAAUAUCUCCCUGACAAUCCAGUCCCAAUUAAAUAUCUCCAAAGAUAAUUUCUACCAAAAGCAAUCCCGCAUACCACAUGGAGGAUAUGAACAAGACUAGCUGGUGAGCCAGAUUAUGCUUAUUAUCUAAUACAUGCUGAAGACAGGCGUAGUUAUUGUAAAAGCAGAAACCAAAAAAAUUAACCAACUGAUACACCAAAUAAGAAACGCUAGGCACAAAGAGAACCAGAUUAUAGUCAUCGAUUGAUGUACAAGCUCAAACAUUUACAGACAUCUCAAAAUUGUGACUGUAGCUUGUGUCCUAUACAAUGCCUUGCGCUCAAGGAGAUCAAACUAUGCCAGCAGCAACUCACUGAAUUCAAAUUUACUAAUUUUCGUCUGUUUCCUUUUGUAGCACCUAUUUUUCUUAAUUUACAGUUACUUGGUGGACAAAAAAAAAAAAAGAGGUACCACUUUGACAUUACAUACAGUUGAACCUUGUAAAGAAUGUCAUGAGAAAAGGAGCUUCACAAGAUUGAAGAGAACCCUCCUGCAAAGAGAGAAAGUAAGCACCUUAUUGUAAGUUGCAUUCAGAACUUGUGCAUAAAUUGUUAUUAUAAAAUUAAAUUAGGACUCGGGAUUGUUGAAGUGCGUAACUAUCUCACAGAAAACCCUUUAAUUACUAACUUAUAUUAUAUAUCUCAGCAAUGACAACUCAACAACCACCUUACCUUUCACCACCUUUCGAGCACUUCAGAUGCCAUCUCAAGUAUAAGCAAAAAUUCUAUCUGUAAUUUUAGUCCGACAGAUUGGACACUCGGCACAGGCAAGGGAACAAGAUUUACACACUGCAAAUUAAGUCGACAUUAGACAUCUCCUACCAAGGGAGCGAGGAUAAGCUGAGCACAUAAUCAGAAAGUUGACUUACAGCAAAAAUGUCGGCAAGGAAGGAGCAUCGCAGAACUUGGUGAUUCGAAACAGACUUUACAUACAUGUGAAUUUGCAUCAACAUUUCCCAAAUAUCUGUGUUCCUUUUCCUUCAUCUCUUGCAUUCGAGCCUGGUGGCACAGGUAAAAGAUCUUUAAUAUUUCAUGUUAUAUGUUGAGUCAUGAAGGAACCUAAAAAACAACAUUUGUUAUUAGUACUAACUCCUAUGCAAAAACCUAAGAACAAACAUGUAUCCCCUUACCCAUUUAAUAUUUUCCAUUUUAGGUUUCAUCUUAAAAUGCUUGAGACAAUUUAGCUACUAUAUUGCACUACAAAGUCAAAUUCUUCUAAGAAUUUCAAAUCUAUUUGACUGUCAGAAGUUAAAUUUUCUUAUAACUAAAACCAACUGUGAGUUCAGCAUUUUCUCCCAUUACUAAUAUAAUAUAAUAUGCAAGUCACGAACAGUAGGACUUGCCUGAAACAACCUCAAAAGAUUGACACAGAGCAGUAAAUAGAAAAGCUUAUAAUGCUCUUAGUUACUUUUGAUUAGUUGGAACAUUUCAAAAGCACUACAGUAAGUGCACUACUAUGCGAGAAGCACCAUGGAACGACAAAUGACUGAAAGGUAAAUACUUCCUCUUUCUCAGUUUAUGAUGACACUACUUAUAUUUUGAGAUGUCUCGAAAUGUUCGAUACAAUUCUGUUUCUACACAACUUUCAGGAAUAAAAAUUCAUUACAGUAUCCAAAUUUUAGUCUUCAAUGCGAUAUCUUCCCCGCCCAGCUAACUUUUCAACCAUUUCUUUAAUAUUUUCUCCUGUUAUCAUUACAACAACAACAACAACAACAACAACUGGGAUUACACUGUGGGAUAUAAGUCAUUAAAACUAGUUGGAACAUUUGAUUAGUUGUAAUCCCACCAGUGUAAUCUCCUGUUAUCAUUAAAACUAUAUAUAAGUCAUAUUGACUUCUUAAAUGCCAUCAUCAGUCAAAUACAAGACAUAAAGUGGGACGGAUGGAAUAAGUAAAAGUAUAUUAAUCCUGUGACUUACGGAUGUUGGACACUUACUCUCCCCAGCCCUUCCGGUGUUCUACUAGAAUCAAACAACCUUCAUCUUCCAGAAAGCUUGCAUAUCUUCCUGGAUCCAAAGUCUAUCUCACACUUGUUUUACAACUAAAAGACAAAAAUGACCAUCUUACAUAGAGAGGGAAAGGUAAAGGAAAGCUUGCAUACAGAGCUUCAACUCUGACAAAUGACAAGGACGAGCCCAUUACAUACAUGUGACAAGAUACAAGUUCUAAGUGGCAAUAAAGGAUAAACAGAAUUACCUUCAAGCGGGCAACAAGAAUGUCUUCCUUGAGAAUCUCUGCAACUGCAGUUGCAUGAUCCAUGGUCCGGCCAUCAUCGAGGAUGGGGUCACUGUACUCACUAUCAUUCACUUUUGGAUCAUUCCUAUUGUCUCCUCGAACAUUCUGCUUUUCUGCUACUGUCUUUAAAUCUUGCAUGGCACCAUUCUCUUUCCUAAGCUGAGCAACAAGCACCCACAUAUUUGCUAAAUCAUUUUCCAGAGCUGCCUCCCUUUUUUUUCCCUCUUCAACCUUUUUCUUGUACUCAUCUUCCAGUAUUUCCUUCUCAACCAAAGCAGCCUCCAGAGCUGCCUCACAUUGUUUUCUUGCCUGCAACUCCAUUUUUAAAUCUUCAUGAUCCAGAUUCCAUGGGCCAAACCCAUCACGAACAACUCCAGCAAUUUCAAUUUCUCGUCCAGAAACCCGACCUCUACGUCCUUGCCAUAGGUUUUCACCAUGCUUUCCGCAACGAGCACUACCAGUUUGUGCUAUGGAAUUCCUAGAAUUCAAUAUUUGGCGAGCAGCCAACAACUCUUUCUCGAGUUUUGUAUUCUGUAUCGAUAGCUUUGUCACCUCACCAGCCAAAUUUUUCAGUUCUACUGCAGCAGCAGAUGCCAAUUCUUUUGCAUAUGAGGCUUCUUCAGACAAUUUCUGGUUCUGUACUCGCAAUCCACUGUUCUCCUCUACACUCUGAACAAGUUCCAACUUCAACUUAUCAUUAUCAAUAUCCUGCUCAAGCAACAAACUUAUCAGAACCAUGAUAAGGACACAUUUAAGGAAAAUGCAAUCACAUAAAAGUGUCUGUAGGCACAAAGCUAAAUAAGCAGAGUUAGAGAGAUGUAGUCCUUUAAUUGCUGUAUAUGUCACACUAAUGGCAGAUUGAAGAACUCUAAUAGAAAUGCCCAGUAAUGCUUGCUUUUAUGCAGGUAAAGCCAUUAGUCAAAUACAAAUCUAACAUAGAAAGAUUAACCAAGAGAAAUUGAAAGAUCAAAAUGAUCAUGUGUCUAGGCUCCAUACUAUAGCACCAAGUUCAGUAUGUUUAUAUAGAACAGAACAAAAGGUAAAAGACUAAGCAUCUCCAAUAAUUUAAAUUCCUAAGUUAAAAAAUCUUAGACUAGUCAUUCAUAAAUAACAUAUCAUCAGGAUGCCCUUCAAGGCAUUUGCACGGCUUUAUAUAAAGGAAGUAAUAAAACACUUCGAUAGGUCUUAAGAGUUUGAAUUCUCAAUGUAUCUUUAGACUAUAGAGGCACUAAGGAUUCAUAUGAGUCCUGUGCUCAGCAUCUCUUAGCUCAGUUAACUAAACAGUGAUAUGCUCCAGCAAACCCCUCCCCUGCAGGAGACCAUCUUCAUGAAAAUAAAGAAAAGAAAAUUUGGUCUCAGUUCUUCAUAUAAACAAGAACCAGUCCAAUAGACAAACGCGAAAUCAGUUAAUCCUGAGCUGAAGGAUAUAAAUCACCUGCAACUGAAUUUUCUUCUUAAGGUCAUCAAUAUACUCGUCUGAUACACCCUGUUGUUCUGAUGAGGGGUAUGACUUUUCCACCUUCAGUGCGGCUAGCUGCUGCUCAAGAUUACAAAUAGUUUCCUGCAGUUCCUUGUUCUCUAAACACUGAAACACAUAAAAAAUGACAGUCCCAUUAAUCCUGGACAUCCGCCAUUGGCAGGCCGACAACGUUAAAGUGACUACCAUUUUGAUUAACAACAAAAAUAAAUAAUGGCGUUUCUUCACCUUGUUCUGCAGCUCUUCCUGGAGAAUCCGAUUGUCUGCUGAUUUUAUCUGCAUUCAAACGUCAAAUUCUAAAUAACUUUAAAUAAUAGAUGUUCCGCACUCUGAUAGAAAGGAAAAUUCUUUAGAUUUGAUUUUAAAAUAAUUGAAUUGGUGCAAAUCAAGGAAGGACUAAUCUGGUUACCAACCUCAAGCUCAAAGCCCUGUUCACUACAUUGUGUCAUCAGCUUCAGCAAAGUCUGGCAGAAGACAGAACUAUGAGACAACCACAAAUCACCAUUAAAGAGAUAACCUAUGAGGUUGAAAAAGAAUGAUGUGACAUAACCUGCUGCAUUUCAACUAAAGAUGCACUGGUGACUGAUGCUUCACCAAUGUCAACAAUGCGCUGUUCUAAGAUCCUCAUCUGCUCUCUCUUUUCUUGAAUGUCACACUCCAAACUUUGAAUCUGUCACAAGUUUAGGCAUUACGGUGAGUAAAAAUCUUAAAAGCAGGAGACAUCAAUGUACAGAAGAACAAACAAUAAAUUGUUUUCAUGAAAAUCAUACAGCUGUUGUUGCUUAACAACAAAAUCCUACACACCCAUCAAGCAUUUAACAUGCCUAUCAACUUUGAGGAUUAGAAACUAUUGAAGACACUAGAGCUGGAUAUGUUUCACAUGUAGUAAAUAUACCAAUACCAUGCCUUGAAUUUUGAGGAAGCAUCAAUUACAUAUUCAUUUGAAUUCCAAAAAUAUAUCUAAACUGUUCGCGAAUUUUGAGAGAAGAUUAUUGACUGCAAAAUAUAGCUGCAGAUUAUUCAAAGAGAGACCCAAUAUAUGGCUAUAGCAGCCAUACACACAUCCAUCAUAUUACUAACCAUCAUAUGUAUAAAGGAUUCAGUCCACAAAGACAAAAUAAAGCUUACUUCAGUACGAGUUUUUGAAUUCUCAGGAUCAUUCGCAGACUGCUCCAUCAUUCUUUUCAAUGUACUCGUACUAAAUGCAAUCUCUCCAGCAAGCAUCUUAACUUGCUCAACAAGGAGGUCCAUCUGAUCUGACAUUGGAACUCCUUUCUGUAUUCAAACCAGAAAGACAAAUAAAACAUUAAAAGUUGGAAGGAAUUAACAUUUGAUAUGCAAUGGAAAAGUAUUCCAAUAUAUAAGAAUUAGACAUUCGAAAAAAAUAAUCUUAAUGGGAAAAACUAGAUUUGAAAGAAAAGUAAUAACUUCUCUAUCCUGAGACAACAUUGGAGAAUGCUAAAAUGUACGGAUCCAAGAAAGUUUGAUAAUUCAAUACUUGAAAAAAAAAUUAGAUAUCAAAAAAUCAAACUCCAUGCAAAGUCAAAGACCUUAGUGGGCUAUUCAGAGUAAACUUAACUACAUGUGGAUUAAAAAAUAACAUAGUAACCGACAAAUCCUUUGAUUCCUACAGAAGAUUAACAGUCAUAUGCAAUACAUAGGAAGUGGAAUUAAGAACAAAUGAAGUCUCCUCAUUUAGAAGAUAUUAAGGACUGGGAAGAAUCAUACUAUGGGCAGCUUUGAACCACAGGAGGAACUACUGAUAAGUUCACC
Molecule: long non-coding RNA, 5540 nt
Filed under: Nicotiana tabacum (common tobacco)
Lineage: Eukaryota; Viridiplantae; Streptophyta; Magnoliopsida; Solanales; Solanaceae
Description: long non-coding RNA (NTAB_LNC010680)
Source: RNAcentral